UGAAAAUAUUAGUGGAAAGAUUAGGAGGAA
RNAcentral lists this non-coding RNA (30 nucleotides) under Mus musculus (house mouse). Lineage: Eukaryota; Metazoa; Chordata; Mammalia; Rodentia; Muridae. The record is from RNAcentral.